UCGUGCCGCUGUCCUACAUUCAGGGACUGUCCCAUCGCAACCUGCUGGGGGAGGACUACACCGACUGCUCCUUCAUCUUCCUCUACAUCCUCUGCCCCAUGUCUAUCCGACAGAACAUCCAGAAGAUGCUUGGCUUGGCGCCCUCCAGAGCUGCAACCAAACAGGCUGGAGGCUUCCUGGGACCUCCUCCUCAGACGGCCAAGUUUUCCUGAUCGGCCAGAGGUCACGGCCCCCUCUGCACGGCGCAGACAAGACCUACAUGCUGGAGCAAACAUCAAGUGCAGCUGCUGCACUGCUCAUUCACGUCCUCUAACUUAACCCUGGUCUUCAUUAGAAAUUAGGAGAAGUUCUUAAAAUUCUGUUAAUUAUCAAAAGUAAUAAACAUCUAGAGUGUG
Melanotaenia boesemani (Boeseman's rainbowfish) is the source of this 395-nucleotide long non-coding RNA. RefSeq lists it as uncharacterized. Lineage: Eukaryota; Metazoa; Chordata; Actinopteri; Atheriniformes; Melanotaeniidae. The record is from RefSeq and is a predicted model, not a curated record. The transcript is spliced from 2 exons.